RNAcentral lists this ribosomal RNA (255 nucleotides) under uncultured soil bacterium. RNAcentral describes it as "partial 16S ribosomal RNA". It matches the Rfam family "Bacterial small subunit ribosomal RNA", at positions 26 to 280 of the family's 1533-position model. The record is from RNAcentral.
AGGAUGAACGCUGGCGGCGUGCUUAACACAUGCAAGUCGAACGAUGAAGGCUGGAGCUUGCUCUGGCUGGAUUAGUGGCGAACGGGUGAGUAACACGUGAGUAACCUGCCCCAGACUCUGGGAUAAGCGCUGGAAACGGCGUCUAAUACCGGAUACGAGCUUCCACCGCACGGUGAGGAGCUGGAAGAUUUCGGCUGGGAUGGACUCGCGGCCUAUCAGCUUGUUGGUGAGGUAAUGGCUCACCAAGGCGACGAC